AUGUUUGAUCUUUUAACCUAAACAAACCUUAAAAUGCUAAGAAUAGUACGUGUGAUUCUCGUUUUGGAAGGGGUGGAUUAUAAAUCACAUUAUCAUAUGACGUCCCAAUUGUAUGCGGUCCUCCAAACUCAAGUACGGAAGUUUGACCAGCAGUACUGCCCCUAAGGGCUAUGAAAUAGUAGGGUUAUAGGUGUUAGCUGCUCUGCUGCCACCAACUGAUAGUACAAGGUAAAUAUUGCGUAUUACUACCAUUUACCAACAAAAAAAG
Molecule: long non-coding RNA, 268 nt
Filed under: Panax ginseng (ginseng)
Lineage: Eukaryota; Viridiplantae; Streptophyta; Magnoliopsida; Apiales; Araliaceae
Description: long non-coding RNA (PGIN_LNC006234)
Source: RNAcentral